UACGGGGGGAGCAAGCGUUGUUCGGAUUUACUGGGCGUAAAGGGCGCGUAGGCGGCCACCGCAAGUCGACUGUGAAAUCUCCGGGCUUAACCCGGAAAGGUCAGCCGAUACUGCGGGGCUAGAGUGCAGAAGGGGCAACUGGAAUUCUCGGUGUAGCGGUGGAAUGCGUAGAUAUCGAGAGGAACACCUGCGGCGAAGGCGGGUUGCUGGGCUGACACUGACGCUGAGGCGCGAAAGCUAGGGGAGCGAACGGG
This 254-nucleotide ribosomal RNA is filed under the name uncultured bacterium. RNAcentral describes it as "partial 16S ribosomal RNA". It matches the Rfam family "Bacterial small subunit ribosomal RNA", at positions 524 to 776 of the family's 1533-position model. The record is from RNAcentral.